GACGAACGCUGGCGGCGUGCUUAACACAUGCAAGUCGAACGAAGUGGCGAACGGGUGAGUAACGCGUAAUCAACCUGCCCUUCAGAGGGGGACAACAGUUGGAAACGACUGCUAAUACCGCAUACUGAAGGAGGGGUUUGCGUCUGAUUAGCUAGUUGGGGGGGUAACGGCCCACCAAGGCGAUGAUCAGUAGCCUGUCUGAGAGGAUGAACGGGCACAAUGGGACUUGGACACGGCCCAGAACCCUACGGGAGGCAGCAGUGGGGAAACUUCCGCAAUGGAGGGAAGGCUGACGGAGCAAAGCCGCGGGGGUGAUGACGGCCUUCGGGGUGUAAAGCUCUGUUAAGCGGGACGCGGUACCGGAAUAGAAAGCCACGGCUAACUACGUGCCAGCAGCCGCGGUAAUAC
Molecule: ribosomal RNA, 408 nt
Filed under: uncultured bacterium
Lineage: Bacteria
Description: partial 16S ribosomal RNA
Rfam family: Bacterial small subunit ribosomal RNA
Source: RNAcentral